RNAcentral lists this ribosomal RNA (131 nucleotides) under Solanum comptum. RNAcentral describes it as "partial 5.8S ribosomal RNA". It matches the Rfam family "5.8S ribosomal RNA", at positions 30 to 154 of the family's 154-position model. From Rfam's summary of the family: 5.8S ribosomal RNA (5.8S rRNA) is a component of the large subunit of the eukaryotic ribosome. It is transcribed by RNA polymerase I as part of the 45S precursor that also contains 18S and 28S rRNA. Functionally, it is thought that 5.8S rRNA may be involved in ribosome translocation. The record is from RNAcentral. Lineage: Eukaryota; Viridiplantae; Streptophyta; Magnoliopsida; Solanales; Solanaceae.
GCAUCGAUGAAGAACGCAGCGAAAUGCGAUACUUGGUGUGAAUUGCAGAAUCCCGUGAACCAUCGAGUCUUUGAACGCAAGUUGCGCCCGAAGCCGUCAGGCCGAGGGCACGUCUGCCUGGGCGUCACGCA